This is a long non-coding RNA of Homo sapiens (human), 9666 nucleotides long. RefSeq lists it as uncharacterized. The record is from RefSeq and is a predicted model, not a curated record. Lineage: Eukaryota; Metazoa; Chordata; Mammalia; Primates; Hominidae. The transcript is spliced from 2 exons.
CUCCCAGCUCCUCCAGCGCUCUGUCGCCUGGUCCCGAGGUUUCCCGAGCGCUGUCUCGCCUCCUUAGCAACAGGCGCUGGGGAACCGGGAGAGGCGAGAUGUGGGGGUGGCUCCUAUAUUCUAGGUAAGAGGUACUUAAGGUUUCCUUUGUUGUCGUUUGGAAAGAGAUUCUGGCUGCAGGAAAGGGGAACGAAGACAGUGGUCUGUGCGUUCCAGGGGUGUCUCUGCGGUUUUUCCAAGGCUGCCUCCUGGACUGGGAGACCCGGGCCCGGCACCGCCAGUCUCUGUCCGAGGUGCUGACAGGCUUCCGCUGCUUCAGAGAGCGGGAGGCCGCGCCUAGGCGGGCUCUCAGAGGAGCCGCUCUACCGGGAGAGUCGGAGGCUGGUGACACAGUGUCACUUAGGUCUUCUGUGAAUGCAGACUGGAUUCAAUAUUCUGACCUGUGGGAAGCGGAGGUCAGUACCCCGAGGUGCGAAGCGGGCUUUUGCCAGGAGUGCUUUAGGACGCCAGGGAAUCAGGAGAAGGAUGGCCCUUUCAUUUGUUAAUUGAGCUGAAACGCCGUGGGAUUUGAAAACUAGUUUAGUUUUCUGCGGAGGGACACUCUGGAAGGAGCAUUUGUAAACAAUAUUUGUUUUUUGGAAGAAAUUGUUUGGCAACUUUUCUUUCGGACAUACAACAUUGAGAAUACAGUGAGACAUGGUUUUAGAUCCACUCUGUAGGCUUCUUAACUCUCGUGUACGUCGGAAUCACGUGGGCAAACUUGCUUUAAAUGCGUGCCUGCUAGUUCCUCACUCCAAGGGAUUCUGAUCAAGAUAGGCUGGAGUCUUGGGGUCCCUGCAUUUAAAACUACUUCUUCAAAUAUUUUGAAGCGGGUAUUUUGUGGACAAUAUUUUGAGAAACUUUGCAGUAAGUCACAGAUAUAUGAAUAUAUACAAAUAAAGUAAAACUAUUUUUAAAAAUAGACGUUAGUGAGAUACUUUUAAAAUACCUACCACUAAGGAUCUUAUAGGAAGAAACUUUUGACCACGCCAAGCUGUUCUCAUUAAUUUUUCACUGUUAAUCUAAAGCUUUUAAAUUUACAAUCCCAUGUAUUUAAAAAUGUACUUUUUUCCAAAGUAUAUCACUUAGGACAUUUGUAAGUCAAAUAUUGUAUCAGUAAAAGUGUUAGCAAGGAACACAGAAGGAAUGUGACUGCAUAAAUUACCUUACAGUAAAAAUUAACAUGUCUAUUUUACUUUUUAUGUAAUACUAUAAAAAUAAUUUUACUCAAAAUGUUUGUUUUAUGUUUAUAAGGAAACAAGUUAAUACAUUUAAGAUCCACACUGUGUGAUCUGUGAUUUUCUCAACUGGGGACUUCACAUUCUCUAGAGAAGACAAUUUAGUACAGAAGUUAAUUGAUUAUUUAGUGGAUUAUUAUGUCAAAAAUAAUUAUGUCAGAGGAUGGCAGGUGGAAGAGAAAAUGUAUUGAUUUGGCCCUUUAAGAACUCUACACAAUAGUAAAAUAAUUCGGGGAGUGAGGAGAGUGUGCUGUUGCACACCAUCACAUAUUUGUUUGAAUUAUUUUUUAAACUUAGUUUUCCAGUUGUUCUGGCAUCAUGCUGAUAGUUGGUACGUUUAAAAACUUCAUCAGUGUUUGCCUAAUUUGUAGUCUAUGAUUUGAAGUGUCUCAAUUUUCUCUGAACCCAGUAAGAGAAAGACAAAUGGAAGAUACAGGCCAUUGUAUUGAACAAUCUUUAAGUGUAUAUUCCAUAGCCAACAGGUAUGCAUAGCAUGCCAAAAUAUACUUGUACGCAUUUUUUUUGCAUUCUUAUGACAGUAAUUUUUCUGGCUCUGUAAACACACACCUAUUAUAAACAAAUAUUGAGGAUCCCAGUAGGAUUGGAGACUGAAGGCUAUUGGGCAGAUGUGAAUGUCAGCCAUUUAAAAUGUCUUCCUCCCACAAGCAGAUUGGUCACGUCAUGUUUUAGAAAAAUCUGAUUUUCCUUAAAAUAUUUGUGCAUGAUAAUAGCUAUGGUAUUUCACCUGUUCCUAAAGGAGCCUCAAAUAGAGCAAUGGUUAAAUAUUUAGGGACUCACGUUUUAGAGGGGAAGAACAGAAAAUAUAUAAGCAUAGGAUUAGAGCUGCCACUCAGUCAAUGUUUGAGAACAGUAAAAUCUAUUCAUGAGCUUUAUUAAUCACCUUACUGGUCACACAAAACUAAGUGUGGUAAGUUAUGAAAUUCAAUAAUAAAUGGUCUCACUUUAAGUGUGUUGUAACUCUUAGAGCAGAUAUGACAAACGGUUGUUCACAGGUAGGAUGUGGCAAGUCCCAUUAGAGGAACAAGUGACAGAGGCACACAGAACAGAGAGGGAGGGAGGAGGAGGGACGAGAGAAGCUGGCUGGGAGGAAGGAGGUAUUUGAUGUGGAAACUUUCAUGAAAUAAAUUAUAUUUAAAUUGUGUGAGGGGUAUGAAUAGAAUUCUGACUGGCUUACUUGAAAGAGGAUAUUCUGGGUUAGGAAAGAAAAUGGCAGAGUUACGAAUGGGUGGAUGAGCAGGAUCAGAGAUUUAGAAGGGGAGAUUCCAGAGACGAAGUUGGAAAAGCAAGACAAACCCCUGUGCACCUAGGCCGUUCUGCAGGAGGCCAAGGGCUUCACAUGAUAAUUUCAGGAAAUAAGGAGCCUAUAAAUGGUAAAGGUUUUAAAGCAGGUAAUUGACAUGAUUUGAGAUGUGGCGUAAGAUGACUAUUUUGGCCAAAAAGUUAAUUUAGAUAGAGGAUUAGCGAUGGUGAGGUAGAAUGAAUGAGGGAUAACUGAUCUUGGAAGAUUCUUUCUUGAAAUUUUCUCCUCAGGUUUUGAUAGAUGCAUUUUUGAAAACGUGUAUGUAGUGAAAUAAAUACAAAUUCACCAAAGUUCAAAACAAGGACUUUGAAAAACACACGUAUCUCAAAAUGGGGAGAGAUGUGUAUGCAUUUGUUCAAGAGUUUUUUUAGUGUGAUUGCAGAGAACAGUAACAGAUAAUACACAACAAUGAUGCUGUUGUUGCUUUUUGCUUUAAACAAUUGUAGACUCCAGUCCUUAUCUACUGGUAGCCUGUGUAGAUGAUGCCUCCAAAAAAUGUCUCUGAUCUCAAAUAAACACAUAUAUAGAUCAGUUAAGCAUGUAAAUGCAUAUCUCAUCAUUCAUUUUGGUGUUUUGUGGAAACAAUCUAGGAAGGGAUUUGAAUGUUUUAAUAUUUAGCAUUGGUUUUGCCAUAGCUUGCUUCAUGGAUAGUGGAGUUAUGCAUUUCCAAUUUUUUUCUAAAUCUUUUAAUGUUUCUUUUCGUACAUUCUUUUUUUUUAAAAAUUAGUUGACCUGAUACUUGUCAAAGAAAAUUUUGUUUUGUGUAACUUCCCUCUUGUUUCUCUUAGCCCCUGUUUAAAAUUUUAGAUAAUCUAUAAAAAUUAUACACGGCUAGAUAAUUAUUGAGAUUUAGUUUGUAUAUUUCUAUAAGUGAGAUUGCGUAUGUCCAAUAACACUGUCUGCUGAAAAUUACUGUGUGUGUUAUAAUUUUGGUGCUUACCAGUGGUUCUAGGGAACAAUAAAUGUGUUGAGUAGAUAGAUGAAGAGAUCAACACAUGGGAAAAACUUUGCAAGUAUAGGAAACAUAAAAUAUUGAAAAACAAAACAAUUAGGGAUUUUUAAUUUAAAAACAGUAUUUUAAAAUAUGAGUUUUAAAAAAUUUAUUAAAAUGAGCCAUUGUUUGAUCUGUUAAUUUGGAGAAGUUACAUGUACUUACUUUUUACUUCAUUAACUAUCUGGUAUUAGGGACAUAAAACUAGAUUCAGACUCUAGUGAUAGUAAUGAUAAUUCCUGUGAUUUAACUUGCACUUCGCUAUUACUUCAUACUUAAUUAAUCCAUUAAAAUUAACUCAAUCCUAAUGAAAGUGUAACUACAGGACUUUUUUUUUCUCAUUUCAUGUGUAUAAAUAAUAAAUUAUUGUUUUUUGUUUUUAAAAAUUAGAGUUCCUUUUGGGUAACAUACAAUGUGUAUUUUUAGUUAUCAUGAGACAUACUCAUCCAUUAUGCUAGCUGUUUUGUGUGCACUUCUCACUUGUUGCAUUUUCUUAUAAAAUCCAUUUUUUUAAUGUGUAGGUGUGAAAUAAGUGUGCAUAUGAACAUAAUUUUAGCACAUUUCAAGAAGCAGCUUUGUAGCUGUAUCACUACUAAAUGGAUACAGUCAUACCCAUGUACAAAAAUCACACACACACACAUUUGCACUAUUAUUUUAUGUUUUUCUUCUUUUUAGAAGAGGGGCAAAGAGGAGAGGCAGAUUCAGGCUAGAGUGAGCUAGGGUUAGAGGUUUGGAAAAUGCAGCUUUUAGACAUCUUUUGACUAAAUUUAUGUUAAUUAGUCCUCCUUCCCCCUACUUCAGGGUCUAGAAGCUGCUUUGCCUUCAGUGAGUGCUGAAUGAACACAGUGCAUCUAGUCCCUGGCCAGGUUCUCAGGCAGGAGGAGCUGAAUCCCAGGGGUCCAUGUAGUGUGUUUAAAAAAAGCCUUACAGCAUUGGGAGCUAUGGGUUCUGUUUCCAAGUCCCUGGGAACGUCUAGCCUCAGGCAAGUCACUUAAUCCUCAGGAAUUCAGUCGGAGGUUUCCAGAUGCCCAUUGUGUGGGGACACAAUUGAUACCAAAGUGAUAUCAUAAGAGGCUGAGCUCUACAGAGAAAAUCUCAGUGAGGACACCCACACUAUCACAUGUUAGCAGGCUGUCCUUUACUGAUUGCUUCUGGAGAGCCCUGGGCCAUAUUCAGAGUUUGCAUAUGAAUUGCUAUUAGCAGUUUAAAGCCUUCUUUCUGUUGGAGGUGCUUAGAAGCAGGAAUACAAUCAAAAGGCGUGAAGACACAGGGGAAGAAGAAAUCGAAGAGAGAAUAGAAACAGUUAAAAAUUUUUUCUAAACAGAUUUCCAAUUCUGGCCAAGAUGGAAUAGUGCCAUUCCUCCCAGGUCCUUCCUCCUGGAACACAAAACUCUGGCCAUAACACAACAAAUAAACACAGGAAGAAUCUGAAGGUUGAAAGAGAAAGGCAGCUUGCCUGAGAACCUCAGGACUUGAGGAAUGAUGCUGCGUUGAGUUCCUUAGGUUUUCUUUUUGCCUUUCAUGUAUCCCAGAUACUGCUCUGGGAAGUCUGCAACCUGACACUGCUGACAAGCAGACAGACACACAAACAAACAAACACCAACAAAAAAGCCCCCGCGAAAGGACCAGGAAAAAGAUGGUCUAAGAGCACAAAAAACUUUUUGAUAAUGCCUACCCUACUCCAGCCAAACACCAUCCAAAAGCUGCAUGCACUUCCUCCUCGUUUCAGCAGUCAAGCUGGGAGCUAAUCUUUCACCCACCACUGAGUAGAAACAGGAGGAUGUGCUCCCAACAUACAGAAGAACCAAACGACACCAUCAGUCAACAGGAUUUGAUUGACACUUAUAGAACAUUUUACACAACAAAAGCAGAAUAAACAUUCUUUUCAUCUGCCCAGAGAGCAUUUCAGAAGAUAAACCAUACCAUGAGUCUUAAACAAACUCUAGUACAUUUAAAAUAUUAGUAUUAUACAGUUUAUGUUUUCUAAGCAUAGUGAAAUCAAACUAGAAAUCAGUGACAGAAAGAUAACACUAAAUCACUAAACACUUGGAAGUUAAACAGUAAACUUUUAAGUAAUCCAUAAGUCUAAGAGAAAGUCUCAAAGAAAAUAAAAUGAUACAUAGUACUGAAUGAAAAUGAAAAUGCAGCAUAUCAAAAUUUGGAGUGCACAGUUAAACCAGUGCUGAUGGUGAAAUUGUAGCACUGAACGAUUAAAAAAAAGAAAGAAAAAAAAACUCUCAAAUUUAAGUCCUCAAAAACUAGUAAAGGUAGAUCAAAACAAACCCAAACCAAGCAGAUGAUUUUGUCUUAUUUUUAUUUGUUUAUUUAUUUAUUUUGAGAUGGAGUCUCAUUCUAUUGCCCAGGCUGGAGUGCAGUAAUGCUGUCUCCGCUCAUUCACCCUCCACCAUUUGGGUUCAAGUGAUUCUCCUGCCUCAGCCUCCCAACUAGCUGGGACUCCAGGUGCACACCACCACGCCUGGCUAAAUUUUGUAUUUUUAGCAGAGACCGGGUUUCACCACGUUGGCAAGGCUGGUCUCAAACUCCUGGUCUCAAGUGAUCUGCCCACCUUGGCCUCCCAAAGUACUGGGAUUACAGGCAUGAGCCCCUGUGCCCAGCCCAAACCAAGCAGAUGUAAGAACAUUAUAAAGAUAAAAGAAGAAAUAAAUGAAAUUGAAAACAAAAACCAAUAGAGAAAGUUAAUCAAAUAAAAAUUUUUAUCUUGCCCCCCAAAAUCAAUUAAUUUGAUAAACCUUGGACAAAAAUAAAAAGAGAAAGACAUCAAUGUCAGGAAUGAAACAGAAGCUAUCACACAUCCCACAUACGCUUAAAAGAAAAUAAGGGAAUACCACGAACAAUUUUAUACAUAUAAAUUCAACACUUCAGAAAAAAUAGACCAAUUCCUUAAAAAACAAAAGUUACUAAAAUGUACCCAAGAUGAAGUAGAGAAUCUUAGUAGUCCAUUAAUGACUAAAGAAAUUGAAUUUGUAAUUAGAAGUUCCCAAAAAAGAAAUCUCUGGGCCCAGAUAAUUUCGCUGGAGAAUUCUAUGGUACAUUUAAAGAAGAAUUAUUACUAGCUGUAUGCAGUCUCCUCUAGAAAAUAGAAGAGGAGGGAACCAUUCCCAACUAAUUUUACGAAACCAGUAUUACACUGAUACCAGGAAGAAAGACAGUGUACUAAAGGAAAUCAUGGAACAAAAUCUCUCAAGAACAAUGGCACAAAAAUUCUGAACAAAAUAUGGGCAAAUCAAAGCCAGCAAUAUCUUAGAGGAAUUAUAUGCCAUGACCAAGUGUGAUUUAUUCCAGGUGUGCAAGGCUGUUUGAAGAGUUGAAAAUCAACCAGUGUAUCCACAGUAUUGACAGGCUAAAGAAAAAAAUUGUAGGCAAAAAAAAAAAAAAAAAAAAAAAAAAGCAUUUGAAAAAUACAAUACCCAUUCAUGAUAAAAAUUGUAAAUAAAAAAAUAAAUUAUCAAGACUUUUACAGAAAAAAAAAGAAUAGGGGAGAAUUUCCUUAAUUUAUAAAGAGAAUCUACAAAAAUCCUACAGCUGUCAUUAUAGUUAAAGGUGAAUGACUGGAUUUUUUCCCCCGAUUGUGAACAAGGCAAAGAUAUCCACUUUCACCUAUCUUAUUUUAGCUACUUUAGUAAAGCACAGGUGAUAAAUAGAAAACAUACAGAUUGGGAAGGAAGAAAUACAACAGUCUCUGAUUGACGUGGUUAUCCACAUAAUAAAUCCCAAAGAAUUUAUAUAAAAACUUCUGGAACUGAUAAGUGAAUUAAACAAGAUUACUGGAUACAGGAUCAACACAAAAAUCAAUCACAUCUAUAUGCUAACAACAAAUAUGUGGGAACUGAGAUUAAAAUAAAGACAUAACAUUCAGAAUCACUCUAAGAAAAUGAAGUACUUAGGUAUAAACUUAAUAAAACAAGUGUAGAAACUGUAUGCUGAAAAAAUGCUGUUAAAAGAAAUGAAAGAAGACCUAACUAAAUGGAGAAACUUCCCGUUUUCAUGAAUUGGAAGACUUACCAUAGCAAAAUGUCAAUUCUCCACAAAUCAAUCUAUAGUUUUAUGCAGUCCCUAUCAAAGUCCCAGCAAGGAUUUUUGUACACACAGACAAACAUACUCUAAAAUUUAUAUUGAAGUCUGGGAGAAGGGGAUUUAUACUGAAGUCUGAAGACAGGGAUUGCAUAAAAGCUAUAGACUGAUUUGAGGAGAAUCCCAGUCUGGGAGGACACUGUGGGGGAACAUUCUGCACAAUGGUUACGCUUGCUAUAUUACCACAGUAGUCAAUGGAAUAGAAUAGUCAAUUCAGAAAUAGACCCACACAAAUAUGCCCAACUGAUUAUUUGUUUGUUUGUUUGUUUGUUUAUUUAUUUUGAGAUGGAGUCUUGCUCUGUCGCCCAGGCUGGAGUGCAGUAGUGCGAUCUCUGCUCACUGCAAGUUCCGCCUCCCGGGUUCAUGCCAUUCUCCUGCCUCAGCCUCCUGAGUUAGCUGGACUACAGGUGCCCGCCACCACGCCCGGCUAAUUUUUUGUAUUUUUAGUAGAGAUGGGGUUUCACCGUGUUAGCCAGGAUGGUCUCGAUCUCCUGACCUCGUGAUCUGCCCCUCUCGGCCUCCCAAAGUGCUGGGAUUACAGGUGUGAGCCACCGUGCCUGGCCACCCAGCUGAUUUUUAACAAAGGUUCCAAAGCAAUUCAGUGGAGUGCCUUUAUAACAGUGGUGAUGGGCAAAUGACUUUGACCUAAACCUCAGACUUACACAAACUCCAAAAAAAAAAAAAAACAAAAAACGGACUUAAAUGUAAAAUGUAAAACUUCGGAAAAAAACAUAAAAACAUCUUUAGGACAUAGGGCUAGAAGAAGAAUUCUUAAAUUUAACACCAAAAGCAUGAUUCAUAAAAGGAAAAAUUGGUAGACUGAACCUCAUCAAAUUAAAACAUUUGUUCUGCAAAAGACUCUAAAGACUCCGUACACUUAGAAAAAAUAUCUCCAAACCAUGCAUUUGACAAAGAACUUGGAGUAUAUAAAGAAUUCUCAAAAUUCAGCAGUAACAAACAAUCCAGUCAGAAAAUGGGCAAAACAUAUGCACUGACAUUUCAGGAAAGAGUAUAUACAGAUGGCCAAUAAGCACAUGCAAAAAUGUCCAACAUAAUUAGCCAUUAGCAAAAUGCAAAAAAAAAGCCACAGUGAGAUAUUCCUAAACACCUAUCAGAAUGUCUGUAAGAAUAAUAAAAAAAAAGUGACACUGUUUAAUACUGGGUAGAACGUAGAGAAGCUGGAUUGAUCACUCCUACGUUGCUGGUGGAAAUUAGAAAAUCAUACAGCCACUCUGGAAAAUAAGUUGGCAGUUUCUUAUAAAAUUAAAUCUGCAGUUACCUUACAACCCAGCAAUUGCACUCUGUGGCAUUUAUCUCAGAGGAAUGAAAACCAGUAGUCACACAAAAACCUAUAAACGAAUGUUCACAGCAUCUUUAUUUUUAAUAGCCUGAAACUGGAAACAAACUAAAAUUGUGAAUCGUUAAACAAGCUAUGGCGCAUUCAAACCAUGGAAUUCUAUUCAGCAACAGAAAGAAACUAUUGCUACAGGCACCAAAUUGGAUGGCGCUCAUGGAAUUAUGCUUAUUAAGCGUAAAGGUUACACUAUAUUUUAUUUACAUAAUUAUUAUGAAAUAAUAAAAUUACAGAGAAAGAGGACACAUUAGUGGUUGCCAGUGAUAGAUGGCGGAGGCCAGUGGAGGAGGGGUGUGGGUAAAGAAGGUGACACCCGGAGCCUUGUGAUGUGAGAAAAAAACUGAGCCCAGGAGGUCGAGGCUGCAGGGAAUCUACGCCUAUGAUAAAAUUGCAUAGACCUAUAGCUGUUCCUGCCCACAUAUGAAUACACACCCACGAGUGCAUGAAAUCCUGGUGAAAUCUGAAUGAGGUCGUGGAUUGUACCAUAUCACUUUCCUGGUUUUGAUAUUGUACUAUAGUUACACAAGAUGUAAACACUGAGAAAACUGGGUAUGGAACCUCCCAGUACAAUUUUUUUUACAACUUCUUAAGAAUUUAUUUUUCUUUCAAAAUUAAAAAAAUGUUAAACUUU